This 145-nucleotide small RNA is filed under the name Gopherus agassizii (Agassiz's desert tortoise). RNAcentral's name for it is "TUC338 (ENSGAGG00000008698.1)". Lineage: Eukaryota; Metazoa; Chordata; Testudines; Testudinidae. The record is from RNAcentral.
GCAGCAUGGAGAAUGAAGGCCUCUGUUUAUACACAGAACAGGUAUAGUACAGGUAGUAACAGAGCAACCUUCUCUCCUCACCCCUAUACCCCACCCCACCAAGUUGCCUCAGGUUCACAAUCUCUAAUUCUGAUGUUUUUCUUCG